This 491-nucleotide ribosomal RNA is filed under the name uncultured bacterium. Its description in RNAcentral is "partial 16S ribosomal RNA". It matches the Rfam family "Bacterial small subunit ribosomal RNA", at positions 30 to 507 of the family's 1533-position model. The record is from RNAcentral.
AGUGAACGCUGGCGGUAGGCCUAACACAUGCAAGUCGAACGGCAGCACAGUAAGAGCUUGCUCUUACGGGUGGCGAGUGGCGGACGGGUGAGGAAUACAUCGGAAUCUACUUUUUCGUGGGGGAUAACGUAGGGAAACUUACGCUAAUACCGCAUACGACCUACGGGUGAAAGCAGGGGAUCUUCGGACCUUGCGCGAUUGAAUGAGCCGAUGUCGGAUUAGCUAGUUGGCGGGGUAAAGGCCCACCAAGGCGACGAUCCGUAGCUGGUCUGAGAGGAUGCAGCCCCACAGGGGGAGGGAGACCCGGUCCAGCCUCCCAGGGGAGGCACGGGGGGGGAAUUUGGGAAAAGGGGGGGAACCUUGCACCAGCGACCCCGGGUGGGGGAAGAAGCCCCUCGGGUGGUAAGGCCCUUUUGUGGGGAAAAAAAAGCCGCGGGUUAAACCCCCGGUGUGUUACGGGAACCCAAAAAAAAAGACCGGGUAACUUUGGG